RNAcentral lists this ribosomal RNA (330 nucleotides) under uncultured bacterium. RNAcentral describes it as "bacterial SSU rRNA". It matches the Rfam family "Bacterial small subunit ribosomal RNA", at positions 8 to 334 of the family's 1533-position model. The record is from RNAcentral.
AGGGUUUGAUUCUGGCUCAGGAUGAACGCUGGCGGCGUGCUUAACACAUGCAAGUCGAACGAACGGAGGAGAGCUUGCUCUCCAAAGUUAGUGGCGGACGGGUGAGUAACGCGUGGGUAACCUGCCCUAUGCAGGGGGAUAACGUUUGGAAACGAACGCUAAUACCGCAUAAACUAUGGGUGUUCGCAUGAACAUUAUAGCAAAGAUUUAUCGGCAUAGGAUGGACCCGCGUUGGAUUAGCUAGUUGGUGAGAUAACAGCCCACCAAGGCGACGAUCCAUAGCCGGCCUGAGAGGGUGAACGGCCACAUUGGGACUGAGACACGGCCCAA